UUGAAGGUUUGACCUGCCCGCUGAUUAUUUGAAUGGCCGCGGUAUUUUGACCGUGCAAAGGUAGCAUAAUAAUUAGUUUCUUGAUUGGAAGCUGGAAUGAAUGGUUGGACGAGAAAAUUACUGUCUCUGGCAAAUUUUAAAUAAAAUUUUAUUUUUAAGUUAAAAAGCUUAAAUUUUUUUAAAAGACGAGAAGACCCUAUAGAGUUUAAUAUUAUUAAUUUGUUACAAAUUUAGGUAUUUAAGUUUUCUCUGGUUAUUAAUAUUUUAUUGGGGUGAUAAAAGGAUUGAGUUAACUCCUUUUUAAUUAAUACAUUAAUUUAUGAUUAUUUGAUCCAAUUUUUUUGAUUAUAAGAAUAAAUUACCUUAGGGAUAACAGCGUAAUCUUUUUAGAGAGUUCUUAUCGAAAUGAAGGGUUGCGACCUCGAUGUUGGAUUAAAGUUUAUUUUUGGUGUAGAAGCUAAAAUAUUGAGUCUGUUCGACUUUUAAAACUUUACAUGAUCUGAGUUUAAACCGGUGUGAGCCAGGUUGGUUUCUAUCUUUAUAAUAAGAAAAUAUUUUAGUACGAAAGGACCAA
Molecule: ribosomal RNA, 574 nt
Filed under: Limnius volckmari
Lineage: Eukaryota; Metazoa; Arthropoda; Insecta; Coleoptera; Elmidae
Description: partial large subunit ribosomal RNA
Rfam family: Bacterial large subunit ribosomal RNA
Source: RNAcentral